RNAcentral lists this ribosomal RNA (2167 nucleotides) under human gut metagenome. RNAcentral's name for it is "bacterial LSU rRNA". It matches the Rfam family "Bacterial large subunit ribosomal RNA", at positions 485 to 2447 of the family's 2925-position model. The record is from RNAcentral.
CGAUAGUGAACAAGUACCGUGAGGGAAAGGUGAAAAGAACCCCGAAAGGGGAGUGAAAUAGAACCUGAAACCUAGUGCCUACAAGCAGACAGAGCGUGAGCGAACGUGAUGUCGUACCUUUUGUAGAAUGGGCCAGCGAGUUAUUCUAAAUUGCAAGGUUAAUGAUUUAAGAUCAGAAGCCGCAGCGAAAGCGAGUCUUAAUAGGGCGAAAGUAAGUUAGAAUAGACCCGAAACCGGGUGAUCUAUCCAUGGUCAGAGUGAAGUUGAAGUAAAAUUCAAUGGAGGCUCGAACCGGGUGCGGUUUAAAACGCAUCGGAUGAACUGUGGAUAGGGGCGAAAAACCAAACGAACCCGGAGAUAGCUGGUUCUCCUCGAAAUAGCUUUAGGGCUAGCCUCUGACCUAAGAUUUUAGGAGGUAGAGCACUGAAUGGUCUAGGGCGGAUUACCGUACCAAAACCUAUCAAACUCCGAAUGCCAAAAAAUCAAGUCAGGGAGUCAGACUUAGGGGGAUAAGCUUCUAAGUCGAAAGGGAAACAGCCCAGACCGACAGCUAAGGUCCCAAAAUUUGAAUUAAGUGGAAAAGGAUGUGAAUCUACUAAGACAACCAGGACGUUGGCUUAGAAGCAGCCAUGCAUUUAAAGAAUGCGUAAUAGCUCACUGGUCAAGUGGGUUUGCGCCGAAAAUGAACGGGGCUCAAAUUCAAUACCGAAGCUUCGGAUUAAUAGAGGGAUUAAGUUUACAAAUGAGACUAGGAAAUAUUUAACAAAAACAGAAGAGAUUAAAAAGAAAUACAAAUUUCAGACGCAGACAUAAAAGAUAGGAUAUUAAAGAAAAAUAUUCAAAAAAACACAAGUCUAAAGUCAAAAGUGAGUAACAUAAGAAAUUAUGAACUAACAAUCACUGGUUAGAGUUAAAAACUAGGACUCAUAGCUAAACUUAAUACCUCUAUUAGUGGUAGAGGAGCAUUGUAUUAGAGACGAAGCCAAGGCGAAAGCAAAAGUGGAUCUAAUACAAGAGAGAAUGCUGGCAUGAGUAGCGAGAAGGGAUGUGAGAAUCAUCCCCGUCGAAACCCUAAGGACUCCUGAGCAAGGCUCGUCCCCUCAGGGAAAGUCGGGACCUAAGCCAAGGCCGAAAGGCGUAGGCGAUGGAUAACAGGUUUAUAUUCCUGUACCGCUUGAAGUCGUUAAGAGAGAAGUGAUGACGCAAAAGGAUAAGCAAAGCCAUCAGAUGGAAAAGAUGGUCUAAAGCCGUAGGAAGAAAAGUAGGCAAAUCCGCUUUUCACAAAUUCUAAAAGCCGAUAGGUAUCGAAAACAUAAGUAGAGAAGUUGCCGAUUCCAGGUUGCCAAGAAAAGUCACUAUCCAGACCAAAGCGCCCGUACCAAAACCGACACAGGUAGGGAGGUAGAGAAUACCAAGACGCGCGGAAGAACCUUUGUUAAGGAACUCGGCAAAAUGUCCCCGUAACUUCGGGAGAAGGGGAGCCUGAGCAAUCAGGCCACAGAAACCAGGCCCAAGCGACUGUUUACCAAAAACACAAGUUUCUGCAAAAUCGCAAGAUGAAGUAUAGGAGCUGACACCUGCCCGGUGCUGGAAGGUUAAGGGGAAGGCUUAGAGCAAUCGAAGGCUAGAACUUAAGCCCCAGUAAACGGCGGCCGUAACUAUAACGGUCCUAAGGUAGCGAAAUUCCUUGUCGGGUAAGUUCCGACCCGCACGAAAGGUGUAACGAUUUGGGCACUGUCUCAACAAAGGAUCCGGUGAAAUUGUAGUAGUCGUGAAGAUGCGACUUACCCACGCUAGGACGGAAAGACCCCGUGGAGCUUUACUGUAGGCUGAUAUUGGAUUUUGAGAUUAAAUGUACAGGAUAGUUGGGAGACUGAGAUAUCUGGAUGCCAAUCUAGGAGGAGUCACUGGUGGGAUACCAACCUUUUAAUAUCAAAGUUCUAACCAUAGCCCUUGAAUCAGGGCAUGGGACAUUGUCAGUUGGGCAGUUUGACUGGGGCGGUCGCCUCCUAAAAAGUAACGGAGGCGUUCAAAGGUUCGCUCAGAAUGGACGGAAACCAUUCGUAGAGUAUAAAGGCAAAAGCGAGCUUAACUGCGAGAGCUACAACUCAAGCAGAGUCGAAAGACGGACUUAGUGAUCCGGUGGUACCGCAUGGAAGGGCCAUCG